UACGGGGGGGGCAAGCGUUGUUCGGAAUUACUGGGCGUAAAGGGCUCGUAGGUGGCCAACUAAGUCAGACGUGAAAUCCCUCAGCUUAACUGGGGAACUGCGUCUGAUACUGGAUGGCUUGAGUUUGGGAGAGGGAUGCGGAAUUCCAGGUGUAGCGGUGAAAUGCGUAGAUAUCUGGAGGAACACCGGUGGCGAAGGCGGGUCUCUGGGCCGUUACUGACGCUGAGGAGCGAAAGCGUGGGGAGCGAACAGG
This 253-nucleotide ribosomal RNA is filed under the name uncultured bacterium. RNAcentral describes it as "partial 16S ribosomal RNA". It matches the Rfam family "Bacterial small subunit ribosomal RNA", at positions 524 to 776 of the family's 1533-position model. The record is from RNAcentral.